CCCGCAACGAGUGCAACCCUUGCCAUUAGUUGCUACCAUUUAGUUGAGCACUCUAAUGGGACUGCCGGUGACAAACCGGAGGAAGGUGGGGAUGACGUCAAGUCCUCAUGGCCCUUAUGACCGGGGCUUCACACGUCAUACAAUGGUUGGUACAGAGGGUAGCCAAGCCGCGAGGUGGAGCCAAUCUCAUAAAACCGAUCGUAGUCCGGAUCGCACUCUGCAACUCGAGUGCGUGAAGUCGGAAUCGCUAGUAAUCGCAGAUCAUCAUGCUGCGGUGAAU
Molecule: ribosomal RNA, 280 nt
Filed under: Aquitalea sp. October_NA2A5
Lineage: Bacteria; Pseudomonadati; Pseudomonadota; Betaproteobacteria; Neisseriales; Chromobacteriaceae
Description: partial 16S ribosomal RNA
Rfam family: Bacterial small subunit ribosomal RNA
Source: RNAcentral